UGGGGCAUGAACCUGGCAUACAAUGUAGAUUUCUGUGUUUAUUAGGCAACAGCUACAUUGUCUGCUGGGUUUCAGGCUACCUGG
RNAcentral lists this microRNA precursor (84 nucleotides) under Cricetulus griseus (Chinese hamster). RNAcentral describes it as "mir-221 microRNA precursor family". It matches the Rfam family "mir-221 microRNA precursor family". The record is from Rfam by way of RNAcentral. Lineage: Eukaryota; Metazoa; Chordata; Mammalia; Rodentia; Cricetidae.